CCUACGGGCGGCUGCAGUAGGGAAUCUUCGGCAAUGGACGAAAGUCUGACCGAGCAACGCCGCGUGAGUGAAGAAGGUUUUCGGAUCGUAAAACUCUGUUGGUAGAGAAGAACGUUGGUGAGAGUGUAAAGCUCAUCAAGUGACGGUAACUACCCAGAAAGGUACGGCUAACUACGUGCCCGCAGCCGCGGUAAGACGUAGGUCCCGGUCGUUGUCGGGAUUGAUUGGGCGAAAGGCGAGCGCAGGUGGUUUAUUAAGUCUGGUGUAAAAGGCAGGGGCUUAACCCUUGUUUGCAUUGGAAACUGGUAGACUUGAGUGCAGGAGAGGAGAGUGGAAUUCCAGGUGUAGCGGUGAAAUGCGUAGAUAUAUGGAGGAACACCGGUGGCGAAAGCGGCACUCUGGCGUGUAACUGACACUGAGGCUCGAAAGCGUGGGGAGCAAACAGGAUUAGAUACCCUGGUAGUC
This 465-nucleotide ribosomal RNA is filed under the name uncultured bacterium. Its description in RNAcentral is "partial 16S ribosomal RNA". It matches the Rfam family "Bacterial small subunit ribosomal RNA", at positions 338 to 795 of the family's 1533-position model. The record is from RNAcentral.